RNAcentral lists this ribosomal RNA (262 nucleotides) under uncultured bacterium. Its description in RNAcentral is "partial 16S ribosomal RNA". It matches the Rfam family "Bacterial small subunit ribosomal RNA", at positions 92 to 354 of the family's 1533-position model. The record is from RNAcentral.
UUAGCGGCGGACGGGUGAGUAACACGUGGGUAAUCUGCCUUAUACAGGGGGAUAACAGUUAGAAAUGACUGCUAAUACCGCAUAAGCGCACGGGGACGCAUGUUUCUGUGUGAAAAACUCCGGUAGUAUAAGAUGAGCCCGCGUCUGAUUAGCUGGUUGGUGGGGUAACGGCCUACCAAGGCGACGAUCAGUAGCCGGCCUGAGAGGGUGAACGGCCACAUUGGGACUGAGACACGGCCCAAACUCCUACGGGAGGCAGCAG